This 323-nucleotide long non-coding RNA is filed under the name Malus domestica (apple). Its description in RNAcentral is "long non-coding RNA (MDOM_LNC015220)". The record is from RNAcentral. Lineage: Eukaryota; Viridiplantae; Streptophyta; Magnoliopsida; Rosales; Rosaceae.
ACAGUUGGUCAAAAAUUGCGUCAGCCUUGGUAAUAUCAAAAGUAUAAACCUUUGACGGUUUAAAUGUUCAUUCAUUGGCCGAGCGACUUUUGGCUUCUCUAGAAUCAACCUAAGCCAAUGCCUUGCAAACGUAUGGCUUAUCUAUCACUAUCUCAGCCGCAUCCACACUAACGUAUUCAUCCUCGGUUGAUGCAUAAUUGACAGUAGGGUUCUUGUAAAUCGUUCCCCGAGUUGGAGUCUUCGAAGUCUUUUCCUCGCGGAGCAAAUAAUCAUACUGCUCGACAUGUUGGGCUAAUUUGUACAUAUCCCGAAAAUUUGCCCCC